GAUGAAGAACGUAGCGAAAUGCGAUAAGUAAUGUGAAUUGCAGAAUUCAGUGAAUCAUCGAAUCUUUGAACGCACCUUGCGCCCUUUGGCCAUUCCGAAGGGCAUGCCUGUUUGAGUAUCAUGAACACCUCAACUCUUCAUGGUUUUCCGUGAUGAGCUUGGACUUUGGGGGUCUUGCUGGCCUAUGGUCAGCUCCUCUAAAAUAAAUCAGCUUGCCAGUGUUUGGUGGGUAUCACAGGUGUGAUAACUAUCUACGCUUGUGGUUUUCCACCAGGUAGCCUUCAGCAGUGGAGGUUCGCUGGAGCUCACAGAUGUGUCUCUCCUCAGUGAGGACAGCUCUUUGAAUGUUUGAUCUCAAAUCAGGUAGGACUACCCGCUGAACUUAAGCAUAUCAAUAAGCGGAGGA
RNAcentral lists this unclassified non-coding RNA (406 nucleotides) under soil metagenome. Its description in RNAcentral is "partial contains 5.8S ribosomal RNA, internal transcribed spacer 2, and large subunit ribosomal RNA". The stretch from base 1 to 121 matches the Rfam family "5.8S ribosomal RNA", at positions 35 to 154 of the family's 154-position model. The record is from RNAcentral.